Molecule: unclassified non-coding RNA, 209 nt
Filed under: uncultured Hyaloriaceae
Lineage: Eukaryota; Fungi; Basidiomycota; Agaricomycetes; Auriculariales; Hyaloriaceae
Description: sequence contains ITS2
Source: RNAcentral
UUAACCAUCGCGUCGUGGAUUGAACAUUCGGCUGAAAGGCUGGACCAGUAUGUCUGCGAAGCGGAUUUGGAGGCUUGCCGUGCAAACGGCUCCUCUCGAAAUGCAUUAGCUGUCUGUGGACUUGCGCCGCUGGUGUGAUAAUUUACUUCUCGCCUAUGGCAAAAGACUGACGGUGGCUUAUAAUCGCCCGCAAGGGCAACAAACUUAAG